Ictalurus punctatus (channel catfish) is the source of this 438-nucleotide long non-coding RNA. NCBI's taxonomy places the organism in Eukaryota, Metazoa, Chordata, Actinopteri, Siluriformes, Ictaluridae. The record is from Ensembl.
CAAAGAAGCAAAAAAAAAGUCUUUUAAGGUGCUAUGUCAUUAUUUCUAGAUAUGUUGGUCUACCAGCUUUACUGGCUCAGACAGUGUUUUGGCAUCUUGUAUCUCAUCAUAGGCUUGAUUUUUCAACAUGGAAUUGGCCCUGUUCACAUUUUUAGCUUUAGCUGGAAGCAGCCUUUGCUUGUUAGGAAGUUGGGGUCAGAGCGCAGGGUCAGCCAUGAUACAGCGCCCCUGGAGCAGAGAUGGUUAAGAGUCUUGCUUAAGGACCCAACGAUGGCAGCUUGGCAGUGAACCCCCGACCUUCCAAUCAGUAACUCAGAGCCUUAACCGUUGAGGCACCACUACCCUAAAUUCAUCAGACAGAAUCGGCACUACUGUCGGAGCUGCUGUUAUGGAAAUUUACUCAAGCCCGUCUGACCAGUUGGUUUUAAGAUUUCAAGA